This 481-nucleotide ribosomal RNA is filed under the name uncultured bacterium. Its description in RNAcentral is "partial 16S ribosomal RNA". It matches the Rfam family "Bacterial small subunit ribosomal RNA", at positions 28 to 507 of the family's 1533-position model. The record is from RNAcentral.
GAUGAACGCUGGCGGCGUGCUUAACACAUGCAAGUCGAACGAAACACCUUAGUUGAUUUUCUUCGGGACUGAAUAUCUGGUGAUUGAGUGACGGACGGGUGAGUAACGCGGGGGUAACCUGCCCUGUACAGAGGGGUUACCUAAAGAAAUGUCUGCUUAUACCGCAUAAGACCACAGCUCCGCAUGGUGCAGUGGUCAAAACUCCGGUGGUCCAGGAUGGACCCGCGUCUGAUUAGAUGGAUGGUGAGGUCACGGCUCACCAAGGCGACGAUCAGUAGCCGGCUUGAGAGAGUGAACCGCCACAUUGGGACUGGGACACGGCCCAAACUCCCACGGGAAGCAGCAGUGGGGAAUAUUGCACAAUGGGGGAAACCCUGAUGCAGCGACGUCGCGUGGGUGAAGAAGUACUUCGGUAUGUAAAGCUCUAUCAGAAGGGAAGAAAAUGACGGUACCUGACUAAGAAGCCACGGCUAACUACGUG